GCUUUCUUUGCUGACGAGUGGCGGACGGGUGAGUAAUGCUUGGGAAUCUGGCUUAUGGAGGGGGAUAACUGUGGGAAACUGCAGCUAAUACCGCGUAUUCUCUGAGGAGGAAAGGGUGGGACCUUAGGGCCACCUGCCAUAAGAUGAGCCCAAGUGGGAUUAGGUAGUUGGUGGGGUAAAGGCCUACCAAGCCUGCGAUCUCUAGCUGGUCUGAGAGGAUGACCAGCCACACUGGAACUGAGACACGGUCCAGACUCCUACGGGAGGCAGCAGUGGGGAAUAUUGCGCAAUGGGGGGAACCCUGACGCAGCCAUGCCGCGUGAAUGAAGAAGGCCUUCGGGUUGUAAAGUUCUUUCGGUAAUGAGGAAGGGAUGUUGUUAAAUAGAUAGCAUCAUUGACGUUAAUUACAGAAGAAGCACCGGCUAACUCCGUGCCAGCAGCCGCGGUAAUACGGAGGGUGCGAGCGUUAAUCGGAAUAACUGGGCGUAAAGGGCACGCAGGCGGACUUUUAAGUGAGAUGUGAAAUCCCCGAGCUUAACUUGGGAACUGCAUUUCAGACUGGGAGUCUAGAGUACUUUAGGGAGGGGUAGAAUUCCCCGUGUAGCGGU
Molecule: ribosomal RNA, 608 nt
Filed under: uncultured Pasteurella sp.
Lineage: Bacteria; Pseudomonadati; Pseudomonadota; Gammaproteobacteria; Pasteurellales; Pasteurellaceae
Description: bacterial SSU rRNA
Rfam family: Bacterial small subunit ribosomal RNA
Source: RNAcentral